GGCCCGUUAAGGCCUUUGUCCGUUGUCGUUAGGACUACCGACGGCCGGCAGGGUCCGGACUGGGAGAGGCCGCCGCCGCCAUCAGUCACCGAGGGUAGUGGUGGAUACCAACUUUGGAGAUGAGGAGAUAUUCUCUAAAGUUCUCUUCAGAAGGGGCUGAGGAGGAUGGAAAAUGAAGACUCUCCCAAAGGGUGGAACCAAGAGCUGUGGAGGACAAGGACACCAGAGCCACUCCCAGUGAACAGAACCACAGCCUAAUCAAGGAACAGACUCUAUCACAAGAUCAAGAGGAGCUGGAUCAAGCCUCAGGUAGAACAUGAGGUGCUGGACUUUAAGAAUGAUGACAGGAUGGAUGAAGAAACAGAGACACCAUGAAGAUAAGACUAUGUCAUCAUGUCUUCAACAUCUGGAAAACUCCAAUGCACACAUGUGAGAGUAGGCCAGAGAGAGAGACCUAUCUGAAACCAGCUUGGGCAGCUGGAGAAGAAUGAGGGUGAGCAGACAUCUGGGCAAGCCGGAGUUUGGGAAAACUGCCAUCUUCGACCUUUCUGGAGCAGCAAGAUACUGGGAAUAUGGACUUUGGAGCUGGGCAGCCCUUUUGUGACCAUGAGGCAACAUUGAAGAUGCAAGCCACAUGCUAAGACAGAAGAAAAUAAAGACAGAACUAAGCUGGGGCAUGUAUGACAUUUCAAGCUCUCAGAUCAGCCCUUGAUGGCCACCAUCCAUAUUUAUUGACAUGAAAAGAAGUCCUCAUUUUGUCAAAGCCAAUGAUAUUCAGGACUGUUAUUAAUAACAAAAUACAAUUCUUCCCUCUACCCACUACAGUGUAUCAUGAAACUCUUCAAACAUAUAGGAAAGUUGAGUAUGGAAUCUCUAUCUCCAGCCUUGAGGUCUCACCUGGACUCUUGGUUAUUCAAUGGACUACUCUGCAUCUCCAUGUGCAUCUCUAAUAUAGACUCCUCAACCUUAAUGUAUCCACAACUGAACCUUUGGUUCUGUACCACUCCCGUCUUGCUCCUUGUCUCUCCGUUUCCCCAUCUCAGAAAUUAACAA
This 1053-nucleotide long non-coding RNA is filed under the name Homo sapiens (human). Its description in RNAcentral is "long non-coding RNA NONHSAT208910.1". The record is from RNAcentral. Lineage: Eukaryota; Metazoa; Chordata; Mammalia; Primates; Hominidae.